UUACAUCUUCCUUUUUACUAUCUCUUUCGAAAAUACGAUCUCCGAGGAUUUUCGGGUGGUAAUUUUGUCGUAACCGUUUUUGACCCCAACAAUAUUGUCACUUUCAAUUUUGAUUAUCUGGCUCUAAAAUUGUGGUGAGUUUUUCUGGCUAGUUUAGUAGAACUUAUUAAUGUUUUUGACAUAUGUAUGUAAUGGUGACUUGUUCAUGUGAUAGAUGUAAACACGUUGAUUGUGCGUAAAAUUUAGUAAAUUAUUUGGUCCACUUAUAUUUUUGGAAUGCCAUUGCAUUAUUUAUGAAAAAGUCAGUUUUGAUUUUUCAAUUUUAUAAAACAAACAGAUUUCUUAAGAACCAUUAUUAGCUUUAUUGUUGGUUUAAUUAAAUUCAACAUAAUGUUUAUGAUGUGAUAAAAACAUGUUUUAACUUUCAUACUACAAUUUUGUGAAUGGCAUGAGAUAACUUUAUAAUCAUUUAAGAUAAAAGAGUUUUAUAGCAUCACAUACCAAACGAAGAGAGAAAGUGUUUUCUUUCAUGUAACAUAGUAAA
Molecule: long non-coding RNA, 544 nt
Filed under: Brassica napus (rape)
Lineage: Eukaryota; Viridiplantae; Streptophyta; Magnoliopsida; Brassicales; Brassicaceae
Description: long non-coding RNA (BNAP_LNC018739)
Source: RNAcentral